GAUGAGUCUCUCUAGAAUGAGAGCAGUGUCAAAAAUAACUUCCAUGAGCUUCUCUGAGAUCUAGCCUUGUGGGACACUAACAAUAGUCAGAUACCAGGACGUAGAUGACUACUCCCAGAAUUCACUACAGUAGGUACCAGAGACAUACAGUGGAUUCAGAAUUCACUACAGUAGGUACCAGAGACAUACAGUGGAUUCAGAAUUCACUACAGUAGGUACCAGAGACAUACAGUGGAUUCAGAAUUCACUACAGUAGGUACCAGAGACAUACAGUGGAUUCAGAAUUCACUACAGUAGGUACCAGAGACAUACAGUGGAUUCAGAAUUCACUACAGUAGGUACCAGAGACAUACAGUGGAUUCAGAAUUCACUACAGUAGGUACCAGAGACAUACAGUGGAUUCAGAAUUCACUACAGUAGGUACCAGAGACAUACAGUGGAUUCAGAAUUCACUACAGUAGGUACCAGAGACAUACAGUGGAUUCAGAAUUCACUACAGUAGGUACCAGAGACAUACAGUGGAUUCAGAAUUCACUACAGUAGGUAGGUAGCAGUAUUCAGACCCCUGGACUUAUUCCACAUUUUGUUACAUUACAGCCUUAUUUAUAACAUUAUUAUUUUUCCUCAUCAAUCUACACACAAUACCCCAUAAUGACAUCACAAUACCCCAUAAUGACAUCACAAUACCCAAUAAUGACAUCACAAUACCCCAUAAUGACAUCACA
Molecule: long non-coding RNA, 725 nt
Organism: Oncorhynchus keta (chum salmon)
Lineage: Eukaryota; Metazoa; Chordata; Actinopteri; Salmoniformes; Salmonidae
Exons: 3
Source: RefSeq, a predicted model, not a curated record